UUUUUUAAUUGGAAGCUGGAAUGAAAGGUAGUGAUAAUAAGGGAAAGUUUUAUUAUAUUAAAAUUGAAUUUUAAUUAAAAGUAAAAAUGCUUUUUUAGCUUUUAGGGACGAGAAGACCCUAAAAGCUUAGAAAUUAAAUAAUUUUUUAUUGGGGUAAUAAAAUGAAGAUGGAGAUUUUUGUAAAUUAGCAAUAUUAGAAAGUAAGUUACUUUAGGGUUAACAGCAUAAUUUAAUUUAAGAGUUCUUAUUAAUAAUUAAGAUUAUGACCUCGAUGUUGAAUUAAAAUUAAUUUUGGGUGAAGGAGUUCAAAAAAUUUAGUCUGUUCGACUAUUAAAAUUUUACGUGAUCUGAGU
RNAcentral lists this ribosomal RNA (353 nucleotides) under Manaosbiidae sp. MZSP 73068. Its description in RNAcentral is "partial large subunit ribosomal RNA". The stretch from base 216 to 353 matches the Rfam family "Bacterial large subunit ribosomal RNA", at positions 2473 to 2610 of the family's 2925-position model. Lineage: Eukaryota; Metazoa; Arthropoda; Arachnida; Opiliones; Manaosbiidae. The record is from RNAcentral.